UACGUAGGGGGCAAGCGUUGUCCGGAUUUAUUGGGCGUAAAGAGCGUGUAGGCGGCCGUACAGGUCAGCUGUGAAAACUCGAGGCUCAACCUCGAGACGUCGGUCGAAACCGUACGGCUAGAGUCCGGAAGAGGAGAGUGGAAUUCCCGGUGUAGCGGUGAAAUGCGCAGAUAUCAGGAAGAACACCCGUGGCGAAGGCGGCUCUCUGGUACGUGACUGACGCUGAGACGCGAAAGCGUGGGGAGCGAACAGG
Molecule: ribosomal RNA, 253 nt
Filed under: uncultured bacterium
Lineage: Bacteria
Description: partial 16S ribosomal RNA
Rfam family: Bacterial small subunit ribosomal RNA
Source: RNAcentral